CUCGUAGGCGGUUCGUCGCGUCCGGUGUGAAAGUCCAUCGCCUAACGGUGGAUCUGCGCCGGGUACGGGCGGGCUGGAGUGCGGUAGGGGAGACUGGAAUUCCCGGUGUAACGGUGGAAUGUCUAGAUAUCGGGAAGAACACCAAUGGCGAAGGCAGGUCUCUGGGCCGUUACUGACGCUGAGGAGCGAAAGCGUGGGGAGCGAACA
Molecule: ribosomal RNA, 207 nt
Filed under: uncultured bacterium
Lineage: Bacteria
Description: partial 16S ribosomal RNA
Rfam family: Bacterial small subunit ribosomal RNA
Source: RNAcentral